CUGCCCGGUUUUAUAGCCCUGCUUGACCUGUGUGAUCCGAGAAUAAUCUUGUUUAAUCUCCACAAGUUUGAGGACUAAACUGGGUGCCACAGAGAAUUAAGUAACUGGUCGAGGUUGUAUCAGUAAGAAGGGAGCACGGAACAGAUUCAAGCUCAGGGAGCCUGGUUGGACUUCAGGCCCCUGUGAGGCUGACUCUGUAGUCCUGGAGAAACUCAACAGCCAGGAACUUAGGACCAUUUGUGUGUGGCAUUUGGGCUAACCAGACUGGUGGCUUCUAAAGAAGAUGGAAAGCAUCACGUUUCCUGUAUUUAAAUUAUUUGGUGAUCUCAAUACUGGUUGUUAGCCAAAGUACACAAUGGAGACAGCCUAUUUGCUCUACUACUUUUGAUGUAGAAAUAUUACUAAGCUUGAGCUGAUUAAUAGAACUGUUACACAUUUCUGUGCUCCCCUUACUGGUGGCAUGAAAUAAUUCUUUUAAAACCUGCCAUGUGUUCACAUUUAAAACUAAAAGUAAUUUAGAUUACAUGGAUUUGAGAAGCCCAUGUUGACACGUAAUUGCCAACAGAUGGGCUUUCAAAUGUAAUGAAGUGAAAAUGGUCAGUACCCCAUGUGUUGGAUUUUGCAAUUUUCCAAAGUAAGCUGUCAUUUUUGGCAUGUCAUGCUAGUUAAGAACACAAUGUAUUUAUAGCUCAAUUAUACAUUUUCUGAUGAA
Molecule: long non-coding RNA, 712 nt
Filed under: Homo sapiens (human)
Lineage: Eukaryota; Metazoa; Chordata; Mammalia; Primates; Hominidae
Description: novel transcript, antisense to RARRES1
Source: RNAcentral